This 605-nucleotide ribosomal RNA is filed under the name fungal sp. ARIZ B459. RNAcentral's name for it is "eukaryotic LSU rRNA". The stretch from base 237 to 390 matches the Rfam family "5.8S ribosomal RNA". The record is from RNAcentral. Lineage: Eukaryota; Fungi.
CUUGGUCAUUUAGAGGAAGUAAAAGUCGUAACAAGGUCUCCGUUGGUGAACCAGCGGAGGGAUCAUUACAGAGUUGCAAAACUCCCUAAACCAUUGUGAACGUUACCUUUACCGUUGCUUCGGCGGGCGGCCCGGGUCCUGCCCGGCGCCCCUCGGCCCUCGCGGGCGCCCGCCGGAGGAAAACCAAACCAUUGCAUUGUAUGGCCUCUCUGAGUCUUCUGUACUGAAUAAGUCAAAACUUUCAACAACGGAUCUCUUGGUUCUGGCAUCGAUGAAGAACGCAGCGAAAUGCGAUAAGUAAUGUGAAUUGCAGAAUUCAGUGAAUCAUCGAAUCUUUGAACGCACAUUGCGCCCGCCAGUAUUCUGGCGGGCAUGCCUGUUCGAGCGUCAUUUCAACCAUCAAGCCCCCGGCUUGUGUUGGGGACCUGCGGCUGCCGCAGGCCCUGAAAACCAGUGGCGGGCUCGCUGUCACUCCGAGCGUAGUAGUUUACAUCUCGCUCAGGGCGUGCUGCGGGUUCCGGCCGUUAAAAGCCUUAUUUUACCCAAGGUUGACCUCGGAUCAGGUAGGAAGACCCGCUGAACUUAAGCAUAUCAAUAAGCGGAGG